RNAcentral lists this ribosomal RNA (465 nucleotides) under uncultured bacterium. RNAcentral describes it as "partial 16S ribosomal RNA". It matches the Rfam family "Bacterial small subunit ribosomal RNA", at positions 28 to 507 of the family's 1533-position model. The record is from RNAcentral.
GACGAACGCUGGCGGCGUGCUUAACACAUGCAAGUCGAACGGAAAGGCCCUGCUUGCAGGGUACUCGAGUGGCGAACGGGUGAGUAACACGUGGGUGAUCUGCCCUGCACUUCGGGAUAAGCUUGGGAAACUGGGUCUAAUACCGGAUAGGAACCAUCUUUAGUGUGGUGGUUGGAAAGUUUUUUCGGUGUAGGAUGAGCUCGCGGCCUAUCAGCUUGUUGGUGGGGUAAUGGCCUACCAAGGCGGCGACGGGUAGCCGGCCUGAGAGGGUGUACGGCCACAUUGGGACUGAGAUACGGCCCAGACUCCUACGGGAGGCAGCAGUGGGGAAUAUUGCACAAUGGGCGCAAGCCUGAUGCAGCGACGCCGCGUGGGGGAUGAAGGCCUUCGGGUUGGAAACUCCUUUCGCUAGGGACGAAGCUUUUUGUGACGGUACCUAGAGAAGAAGCACCGGCUAACUACGUG